UGGGGGAUAUUGCGGCAAUGGGGGGCAACCCUGACGCAGCAACGCCGCGUGAAGGAUGAAGGUUUUCGGAUUGUAAACUUCUUUUCUUAAGGACGAAGAAUGACGGUACUUAAGGAAUAAGCUCCGGCUAACUACGUGCCAGCAGCCGCGGUAAUACGUAGGGAGCAAGCGUUGUCCGGAUUUACUGGGUGUAAAGGGUGCGUAGGCGGCAAUGCAAGUCAGAUGUGAAAUCUAUGGGCUCAACCCAUAAACUGCAUUUGAAACUGCGUUGCUUGAGUGAAGUAGAGGCAGGCGGAAUUCCCCGUGUAGCGGUGAAAUGCGUAGAGAUGGGGAGGAACACCAGUGGCGAAGGCGGCCUGCUGGGCUUUAACUGACGCUGAGGCACGAAAGCGUGGGUAGCAAACAGGAUUAGAUACCCUGGUAGU
RNAcentral lists this ribosomal RNA (425 nucleotides) under uncultured Ruminococcus sp. RNAcentral's name for it is "bacterial SSU rRNA". It matches the Rfam family "Bacterial small subunit ribosomal RNA", at positions 355 to 794 of the family's 1533-position model. The record is from RNAcentral. Lineage: Bacteria; Bacillati; Bacillota; Clostridia; Eubacteriales; Oscillospiraceae.